GCUUACGGCCACACCUCCCUGAGCACGCCCGAUCCCUCGUCUGAUCUCGGAAGCUAGCAGGGUCGGCCCGGUUAGUCUUGGAUGGGAGACCGCCUGUGAAUACCAGGUGCUGUAAGCC
RNAcentral lists this ribosomal RNA (118 nucleotides) under Esox lucius (northern pike). Lineage: Eukaryota; Metazoa; Chordata; Actinopteri; Esociformes; Esocidae. The record is from RNAcentral.